Molecule: non-coding RNA, 839 nt
Organism: Cucurbita pepo subsp. pepo (vegetable marrow)
Lineage: Eukaryota; Viridiplantae; Streptophyta; Magnoliopsida; Cucurbitales; Cucurbitaceae
Source: RefSeq, a predicted model, not a curated record
UGUUCGUCCAUUUUUCCGUAACCCAUCUGUUCUUGGAUAUACCUCUGUUUUACUUCAAUAUUCUUAUGCUCUGUGGCAUUUGAAUGUUGAUGAUGGGCAUGGCGGUUCCUUUUACUUGCAAUCAGCACUCGUGGAUUUCUACCAUUUCUGGCCAUUCGCUCCAAAGUAGCCCUGAUUUUCGAAUCUCUUGCCAAUCGAAGGUAUUGGUUCCUGAUAUUUGGAGGUCUUCAGCGGAGAGGUAUCGCGAUCGGGUAGCAUUACUGGAUCCAUACCAUAAUCCUGCUUCCAAAAUUACUUAUUAACAGGGCUUGUGAAUAUUUCAUAUUUACACAUGGAGUGGAGCAAGCUUACAUAACAACGAGAAAGUUAAAGGUAUUUCACUUGCACCAAAUCUGGGAAAUUAGAAUUUUUUUAAACUCUUCUGUAUUUGAGUUGUCAGGAUGAUCUUCGUGAUUAUCAACCAGACUACUUGGUUUCUGUUCCAUUGGUGUGAUUAUAGUUCCCAACAAGGGACAAUUGUUGUCUGCUAUAUUCGAUCUUAGCAAUCAAACCUUGACAAACCUGAUUUAUAGUGAACUCAUAAAGUGGACUUCAGAGUGUUCAUUUCAAAUUGGACCAAUCCUCAUUGCCAAUGAACCAUUCACGAUGGAUAAUGGGUUACUAAGCCCUACAUUGAAAGUUUGAAGACACAAGGUUACUUCUUAUUACAAGAAGGAAAUAGAGAACUUAUUCAAGGCAAUAUAAUGUGGUAAGGCAAUAUAAUGUGGUUAAUUAGUAUCUGGACUUGGACAAACCUUUAGCACAAGCUAUAUAUAUAAAUAACUUUAUAAUAUGCUACA